GGUGGCUCAGUGGUAGAGUGCUUGCCUUGCAAGCAUGAAGCCCUGGGUUCGAUUCCUCAGUACUA
Molecule: transfer RNA, 65 nt
Filed under: Dipodomys ordii (Ord's kangaroo rat)
Lineage: Eukaryota; Metazoa; Chordata; Mammalia; Rodentia; Heteromyidae
Rfam family: tRNA
About the family: Transfer RNA (tRNA) molecules are approximately 80 nucleotides in length. Their secondary structure includes four short double-helical elements and three loops (D, anti-codon, and T loops). Further hydrogen bonds mediate the characteristic L-shaped molecular structure. tRNAs have two regions of fundamental functional importance: the anti-codon, which is responsible for specific mRNA codon recognition, and the 3' end, to which the tRNAs corresponding amino acid is attached (by aminoacyl-tRNA synthetases). tRNAs cope with the degeneracy of the genetic code in two manners: having more than one tRNA (with a specific anti-codon) for a particular amino acid; and 'wobble' base-pairing, i.e. permitting non-standard base-pairing at the 3rd anti-codon position.
Source: Rfam by way of RNAcentral